Molecule: ribosomal RNA, 253 nt
Filed under: uncultured bacterium
Lineage: Bacteria
Description: partial 16S ribosomal RNA
Rfam family: Bacterial small subunit ribosomal RNA
Source: RNAcentral
UACGGAGGGUGCAAGCGUUAUCCGGAUUCACUGGGUUUAAAGGGAGCGUAGGUGGGCGAGUAAGUCCGUGGUGAAAUCUCUGAGCUUAACUCGGAAACUGCCAUGGAUACUAUUGGUCUUGAAUAUUGUGGAGGUUAGCGGAAUAUGUCAUGUAGCGGUGAAAUGCAUAGAUAUGACAUAGAACACCAAUUGCGAAGGCAGCUAACUACGCAUAUAUUGACACUGAGGCUCGAAAGCGUGGGGAUCAAACAGG